AUCCUGGCUCAGGACGAACGCUGGCGGCGUGCCUAAUACAUGCAAGUAGAACGCUGAAGGAGGAGCUUGCUUCUCUGGAUGAGUUGCGAACGGGUGAGUAACGCGUAGGUAACCUGCCUGGUAGCGGGGGAUAACUAUUGGAAACGAUAGCUAAUACCGCAUAAUAGUAGAUGUUGCAUGGCAUUUGCUUAAAAGGUGCAAUUGCAUCACUACCAGAUGGACCUGCGUUGUAUUAGCUAGUUGGUGGGGUAACGGCUCACCAAGGCGACGAUACAUAGCCGACCUGAGAGGGUGAUCGGCCACACUGGGACUGAGACACGGCCCAGACUCCUACGGGAGGCAGCAGUAGGGAAUCUUCGGCAAUGGACGGAAGUCUGACCGAGCAACGCCGCGUGAGUGAAGAAGGUUUUCAGAUCGUAAAGCUCUGUUGUAAGAGAAGAACGAGUGUGAGAGUGGAAAGUUCACACUGUGACGGUAUCUUACCAGAAAGGGACGGCUAACUACGUGCCAGCAGCCGCGGUAA
Molecule: ribosomal RNA, 523 nt
Filed under: uncultured Streptococcaceae bacterium
Lineage: Bacteria; Bacillati; Bacillota; Bacilli; Lactobacillales; Streptococcaceae
Description: bacterial SSU rRNA
Rfam family: Bacterial small subunit ribosomal RNA
Source: RNAcentral